GGGGGAUUAGAUGAUCGCAUGGUCUUCUGGGAAGCUUUCGCGGUAUGGGAUGGGGUCGCGUCCUAUCAGCUUGACGGCGGGGUAACGGCCCACCGUGGCUUCGACGGGUAGCCGGCCUGAGAGGGCGACCGGCCACAUUGGGACUGAGAUACGGCCCAGACUCCUACGGGAGGCAGCAGUGGGGAAUAUUGCACAAUGGGCGCAAGCCUGAUGCAGCGACGCCGCGUGAGGGAUGGAGGCCUUCGGGUUGUAAACCUCUUUUAUCGGGGAGCAAGCGAGAGUGAGUUUACCCGUUGAAUAAGCACCGGCUAACUACGUGCCAGCAGCCGCGGUAAUACGUAGGGUGCAAGCGUUAUCCGGAAUUAUUGGGCGUAAAGGGCUCGUAGGCGGUUCGUCGCGUCCGGUGUGAAAGUCCAUCGCUUAACGGUGGAUCCGCGCCGGGUACGGGCGGGCUUGAGUGCGGUAGGGGAGACUGGAAUUCCCGGUGUAACGGUGGAAUGUGUAGAUAUCGGGAAGAACACCA
This 523-nucleotide ribosomal RNA is filed under the name Bifidobacterium longum subsp. infantis. RNAcentral describes it as "bacterial SSU rRNA". It matches the Rfam family "Bacterial small subunit ribosomal RNA", at positions 172 to 711 of the family's 1533-position model. The record is from RNAcentral. Lineage: Bacteria; Bacillati; Actinomycetota; Actinomycetes; Bifidobacteriales; Bifidobacteriaceae.